This is a long non-coding RNA of Sinocyclocheilus anshuiensis, 189 nucleotides long. RefSeq lists it as uncharacterized. Lineage: Eukaryota; Metazoa; Chordata; Actinopteri; Cypriniformes; Cyprinidae. The transcript has 3 exons. The record is from RefSeq and is a predicted model, not a curated record.
AGAGUUCACACAAAUUCGUUGAAAGAUGAAGCAACCAACUUUAUUGAAUCUGACAGCAGCUGCAGCAAACCGGACCUGAGCAGUGCUGAGAUUCUCCAGGAUCAAUACUUACAGUCUGCUUGGAAGACAAACAGCAGUAUACCGCUGUGGACACUGGACAGCUCCAUCAGCGAUGAGAACAGGCCGUUG